AUUGAACGCUGGCGGAAUGCUUUACACAUGCAAGUCGAACGGUAGAGGGGGCAACCCCUCGAGAGUGGCGAACGGGUGAGUAAUAUAUCGGAACGUGCCCAGUCGUGGGGGAUAACGUAGCGAAAGUUACGCUAAUACCGCAUACGAUCUACGGAUGAAAGCGGGGGACUCGUAAGAGCCUCGCGCGAUUGGAGCGGCCGAUGGCAGAUUAGGUAGUUGGUGGGAUAAAAGCUUACCAAGCCGACGAUCUGUAGCUGGUCUGAGAGGACGACCAGCCACACUGGGACUGAGACACGGCCCAGACUCCUACGGGAGGCAGCAGUGGGGAAUUUUGGACAAUGGGCGAAAGCCUGAUCCAGCCAUGCCGCGUGCAGGAUGAAGGCCUUCGGGUUGUAACUGCUUUGUACGGAACGAAAGGUACUUUUCUAAUAAGAAGCUCAUGACGGUACCGUAAGAAUAAG
RNAcentral lists this ribosomal RNA (461 nucleotides) under uncultured bacterium. Its description in RNAcentral is "bacterial SSU rRNA". It matches the Rfam family "Bacterial small subunit ribosomal RNA", at positions 30 to 490 of the family's 1533-position model. The record is from RNAcentral.